This 230-nucleotide ribosomal RNA is filed under the name uncultured bacterium. Its description in RNAcentral is "partial 16S ribosomal RNA". It matches the Rfam family "Bacterial small subunit ribosomal RNA", at positions 99 to 334 of the family's 1533-position model. The record is from RNAcentral.
CGGACGGGUGAGUAAUGUCUGGGAAACUGCCUGAUGGAGGGGGAUAACUACUGGAAACGGUAGCUAAUACCGCAUAACGUCGCAAGACCAAGAGGGGGACCUUCGGGCCUCUUGCCAUCGGAUGUGCCCAGAUGGGAUUAGCUAGUAGGUGGGGUAACGGCUCACCUAGGCGACGAUCCCUAGCUGGUCUGAGAGGAUGCCAGCCACACUGGAACUGAGACACGGUCCAG